This 253-nucleotide ribosomal RNA is filed under the name uncultured bacterium. RNAcentral's name for it is "partial 16S ribosomal RNA". It matches the Rfam family "Bacterial small subunit ribosomal RNA", at positions 524 to 776 of the family's 1533-position model. The record is from RNAcentral.
UACGUAGGGGGCAAGCGUUGUCCGGAUUUAUUGGGCGUAAAGAGCGUGUAGGCGGCCAGGUAGGUCGGUUGUGAAAACUCGAGGCUCAACCUCGAGAUGUCGACCGAAACCAUCUGGCUAGAGUCCGGAAGAGGAGAAUGGAAUUCCCGGUGUAGCGGUGAAAUGCGCAGAUAUCGGGAAGAACACCCGUGGCGAAGGCGGUUCUCUGGGACGGUACUGACGCUGAGACGCGAAAGCGUGGGGAGCAAACAGG